CAACAAAUGAAGUUCCCACGAAAUUACUGGUGUUAAGGUGAAGGGAAUAAAGAUGGCAAUGAUUGAUGUUAGGAGACCAUAUGAGGAAUAAAUGACAGAUGUUUGAAACAAAGUUUAUCCAAUCCAGCUUUGCUUUCUGGAUUG
Gossypium arboreum is the source of this 144-nucleotide long non-coding RNA. RefSeq lists it as uncharacterized. The record is from RefSeq and is a predicted model, not a curated record. Lineage: Eukaryota; Viridiplantae; Streptophyta; Magnoliopsida; Malvales; Malvaceae. The transcript has 3 exons.